AACUUACCUUAUAUGGAACUUGGAGGAAUUAUAUCUCCCAGUGUUGGUAAACUCACCAGAUUGCAGAGAUUGGCACUUCACGAAAACAGUCUGCACGGCGUGAUUCCUAAUGAAAUUGGCAAUUGCCCUGAACUCAGAGCUAUAUACCUCAGGGCGAAUUUUAUUCAAGGUGGGAUACCAUCAGAUAUUGGAAAUCUUUCAAUACUGACCAUAUUAGACUUAUCAAGCAAUUCACUUAGGGGUGCUAUACCUUCUUCUCUUGGCCGUCUCAGACAUCUUCGUCUUCUGAACUUGUCAGCCAAUUUCUUCUCGGGUGAGAUCCCAGAU
This 327-nucleotide unclassified non-coding RNA is filed under the name Hevea brasiliensis (rubber tree). Lineage: Eukaryota; Viridiplantae; Streptophyta; Magnoliopsida; Malpighiales; Euphorbiaceae. The record is from RNAcentral.